RNAcentral lists this ribosomal RNA (448 nucleotides) under uncultured bacterium. Its description in RNAcentral is "bacterial SSU rRNA". It matches the Rfam family "Bacterial small subunit ribosomal RNA", at positions 330 to 794 of the family's 1533-position model. The record is from RNAcentral.
CCCAGACUCCUACGGGAGGCAGCAGUGGGGGAUAUUGCACAAUGGGGGGAACCCUGAUGCAGCGACGCCGCGUGGGUGAAGGAGCGUUUCGGCGCGUAAAGCCCUCUCGGCAGGGAAGAAGGAUGACGGUACCUGACUAAGAAGCCCCGGCUAACUACGUGCCAGCAGCCGCGGUAAUACGUAGGGGGCAAGCGUUAUCCGGAUUUACUGGGUGUAAAGGGGGCGCAGACGGCAGCGCAAGCCAGGAGUGAAAGCCCGGGGCCCAACCCCGGGACUGCAUUGGGAACUGGCGCGCUGGAGUGCCGGAGGGGUAGGCGGAAUUCCUAGUGUAGCGGUGAAAUGCGUAGAUAUUAGGAGGAACACCAGUGGCGAAGGCGGCCUACUGGACGGUGACUGACGCUGAGGCUCGAAAGCGUGGGGAGCAAACAGGAUUAGAUACCCGAGUAUA